UUUCUUUUUUUUUUUUUUUUAAGUAUUUCUUUCGUUGAAAGAAGGGGUUUUUCGUUAAUUAUGUGUAAGGAUGAGGCCUUCUUUUAGUCUCACUAAAUUUUCAAUGGAUUGUAAUCUACCCUCUCUUUCCAAAACUUUAUGAAAAAUUCUUGUUUAUAUCUGAAUUAUUGUGAAUUCAAAAUAUAAUAUAUUUAAUAAGAUUCCCG
Molecule: unclassified non-coding RNA, 206 nt
Filed under: Hevea brasiliensis (rubber tree)
Lineage: Eukaryota; Viridiplantae; Streptophyta; Magnoliopsida; Malpighiales; Euphorbiaceae
Source: RNAcentral